UUUCCUGAAUCAACUGUCUGGUAAUAGGUGGAGGUUGCUAUUAAGCUGUCAAAGAUGCAGGAAUUCACUGGCCGUUCUGCCCCAACUGUAAUAACAUAAAUACAUAUUGCCGCAUAUAAUCCUUUCUGUACUUUAGAAAUAGUGGUCCUAGUGUCCUCAUUCAAGGGCUGCUGGAAAAUGCACCAUAUUCAAUAGUCUUAAAAAAAAGAUGCAAUGUACCAGUUUUUUGUGUUCUGUAGUGAGUUAUUUUCAGAAUAGACAAGCAGCGAAUUUAUCUUAAUUUUCGAUGAUAAUGGUUCAAGUAAAUCUCAACAAUCAGUACGGGUUUUCAUAUUUUUCACUUCAUUAAAUGUUUCUUCUAUCGAAAUGAUGAACUCCUUUCUUGUUAGAUUGAAGUUUUUUAAGCUUUACUAAACAUGGUUUAGUCGGUCCGGCUUGGCACUGGAUUUUGCUUAUUGAUGGUUCGAUAUAAAUUUCACUUUAAAAGCACCGCACUAACUGUGCUGCUUUACUAAAUCUAAAUCAAAUCAAACCAUACGUAAAAUCAGGUCGUUUGUUUCUUUGUGUGUUGGUUUGUCAUAAUUCUGGCUGUUUGGUUUAUUACUUUUUUUUCCAGUCACACGAGACGUAAAUUCAAUCAAUUCAAUCUGCUAGAGAAACAUAUGCAGAUAGUAGGUCUAAUAUAAACAAAUUGCACAUCACUUUGUAAAACUAUGACAAUAUAUAAUUGUUAAACUAAAGCGUAAACGCAAGGAAAGUAACAAUCAAUAAUUGUUUGACCCCAAAAUCUUGUAACUAAAAAAUAAUCAAUAGUUUUUUGACCCCAAAAUCUAGUAAUUCCCUUGCAGGUUAUUCUCAUAUAUAAUUUUCUAAUAGAUCUUGUGAAUUUUCUGUAACGACAUGACUGGUCGUUUUGAGCUUUAGCGCGUCGUUCGGCGAUUUGAGGCUUCGAGUAGCUUCAAUUCAUUUUUAUAACUUAUACACAUAGUCGGAAUUGAAUUUCAGGAAGUUCGGAGUUGAUUCGGAUGUAAAAUUCUCAAUUCGGAGGAUUUAAGUUGGAAGAGUUGACCAAGGUUUGACUUUUGAGUAAACGACCUCGAAUUAGGAUUUGAAGGUUCCAAUAAGUUCGUAUAGCGAUUUCGGACUUGGGUGUAUGUUCGAGUUGAGUAUAGGGUGGACCGGGAGCAUUUCAGCGUUUAUUGUGGAAAGUUGGCAUUUUGAAGGUUUUAGAAUUUCUCAAGUUUGGUUUGAAGGAGGCUUUGGUGUUAUCGAUGUCCGUUUGGGGUUCCGAGCCUUGGAAUAGGUUCGUAUCCUGAUUUGUGACUUGCACGUAAAUUUUGGUGUCAUUCCAGAAUGUUUAAGUGUAAUUCGGACGCGUUCGUCGAAGUUUGAAUGUUUGAAAGUUGAAAGAACGAUUUUGAUCGUCGAUUCGUGAUUUUGAUGUUAUUUACAGCGUUUCGAGCCUUUGAAUAAGUUUGGAUAAGGUAUUUGGACUUGCUGGUAUGAAUGGGCGGGGUCCGGGGGGCCUCGGGUGGGUUUCGAAAUGGUUGUCGGACAAAUUCCCCUUGUUUUAUCACUGCUGGUUUUUGGUGUGUUGGGUGUGCAUCGCGAUCACGAGAGGAUGAUCACGAUCGCGAAAGGCUAACUGGACUGGUGGCAUUUUUGCUUAUCGCGAUCGCAUAAAGGCAGUCGCGAUCACAGAGUUGGAGCAGGUUGUUCUUCGCGUUCGCGUGGGAGAAGUUGCCGAUGGGUUAUUGAGGCUGGCCUGUUUGGGGGUAGUUGUUCUAUGUGAUCGCGGAUGUUUUCACGUGAUCGCGGAAGAGGAAUUCUGCUGAGGCUAUGUUUGGCCUUCGCGUUCGCGUUAAUGGGCUCUCGUUCGCGGAGGCCUGGGCAGGCUAUGAUUCGCGAUCGCGAGAAGGACCUCGCGUUCACGUAAGAGUAAUUUCAUGGGGGAUGCUGGAUGGCCUUCGCGAUCGCGAUCGCGAGGAGUUUUCCGCGAUCGCGAAGAAGGGUUGCUAGGCAGAACACUUCUUAAAAAAUCAGGGGUUUGACUCAUUUUCAACUCAUUUCUUCCUUGGGAGCCGACUUUGGGGCGAUUUUGGAGCGCCAUUUUCAUUAUCAUUUUUGAGGUAAGUGAUUUCUUCACCUUGUGGGUUAAAUACAUGGUUUAUAUGUGGAUUUAACAUGAAAAUUUAUGGAAAUUGUGGGAUUUUAGGAGAAAACCUAGAAUUUGGUAUUUUUGGAUUUUGACCACGAAAUUAGACAUAAAAUUGGGAAUAAAUUAUAUAUUUGAGUUCGUGGUGUUACGAGUAAUGUUUAUCUUCAAAAAUUUUCGGAAUCUAGACACGUGAGCCCGAGGGUUGACUUUGUUGACUUUUCAAGCUCAGUUGAGGAUUGUUAUAAAUUGUUAACUUAUAAGCAUUGAAGUAUAUUUUGAUUGAUUUGCACGUUGUUUGACUAGUUUCGGAUCGAUGAGCAUUGGUUAAGGUGUUAGAGGGGUGUAAGUGUAAAGCCCCGUAAAAUUUCACCUAAAACCCGGGGCAUCGUGGUACAAACAUUUUGGGUUGAAUAGUGCGUUGGGGAGUUGAAGAAAAAUUAUUGCAGAAUAGGGCAUUUCUACGGUCCAUUAUGCGACCGCAGAUCUACUCCGCAGACCGCAGAUCUGCCGGGGAGUGAAGCAGAGAAAUGGCCAAUUUUGGAAAUCGUUUUGCGGUCAACUAUGCGACCGUAUAAUCGUUUCGCGGGCCGCACUACCGGCGCAGAGUUGGCAUGAAAAAAAAAUCGGAGGGUGAUUCUGCGGUCCAUUUGUGGCCGCAGAACUGGUAUGCGGACCGCAGACCUGACCGCAGACUGAUCCAGAGUAGCCUAGUUUUUGGCAUCACUUUCGCGGCCCAUUUUGCGGGCCGCAUAUUUGUUCUGCGGUCCACUCUGCAACCGCAAAACUGAGUUCGGAGGGUCCAUUUUCUGAUUUUUAAAACCCGACCCCAUUUGAUUAAAAGCCAUUGGGUAUCGUUUAGAAGGCAAAAAUCUACAAUUUCAGAGUGAGGGGAGUGCUUUAGAGAGAGAGAGAGAGAGGAGGAAGCCCCAAGUACUUUGUUCAUCAACCCUUGCUCAAGCUUUGAAAUUCAAAAAGGAAAACUCACAAGAUCUUCACCCAAGAGGUAAGAUCUACUCCCUAGCCGUCAAUUUCAGGAUUGGACUGAAAGUAGGUAAUGCGAAGUGUGAUUCUUGAGUGUUAUUUAUGCAUGCAUGUACCAUCAAGGUUAUUGAGCCCAAAUGGGUAAACAUUAGAUUGUGGGAUGAAGGAAUCCACCAUAGGAGAACCUUGAAACCUUAAUGCACACCUAGUGCUUGAUAAAAUGCUCAAAUGAGCUGAAACCCUGAGUAUCUUCCUAAUUAUGGUUCAAAUUUGUCAUGUUUCUAAUAGAUUGAAAUCGCUAGGAUUUCUGGAACAUUGUAGUAAUUUAAGGAAGCUCAAGCGAGGUAUGUUGGAUAAACUCCUCUUGUAGAGUCGAUUUCCAUGAUGUCCUCAUAAGUUGCUAUUAUGAUUGACUCAAUUUCUUAUUUCUCAUGUUCCGAGUCCUUCCUAAUAGAUUUGACUAUUCUAAAAUAAGUGUUGUGUUGAAAGAUGUAUGUACUCAAAAUAUGUUCCAAAUGUUUCUAUCAUAUCAUGAUUCCCUCCGAGAAUGUAAUCUAGUAUGAUCAAUGAACCAAAGGUAGUGUGAUUUAAAAAUCAUGUUUCAAUUGCAAGUUAGUAUGCCUAAUUGUCGAAGAGAAACUCAAUGUGUUUAAGACUCUUGUUUGCUCAUAUGUAUACUUCAAGUUUUGAUUUGAAAUUCUCUUAUUGAUGAUAAUCCAUGGUAACACUUGAAAGUUAUAGGGGUGAGUAUGAAAUAUGAAAUACGGCCGACGUGUCGAGAAUGAUAUUACAAUUGUGGCCACUAGUGACAAUAAAAUGGAAAGAUGUGUGAAAGAUUAUGAAAUGAGUUGUAAAUCCUUUAAAUAAUAAAUGCUUUGGGAGUAUCGUUUAGUCACCGAGGAAGGGUAGAUCGAAAUAACCUAAUCCUAAAACUACACGUGUCGGUGUAGGAGUAAUUGAAGGGUAAAUCCCCGUGUUGAUGGAUGAGAUUGUUUCCCCUAAUAUGGGAUUAGAUUGAUGUGUUGAGAUAUUUCCCCUUAAAUGGGAUGAGAUUAUUGCUAGCGAGAUGUGAUGUGAUGUCGACCCACACGAUAUUGUGGUGAGACAGCUUAGCCGAUCGGGCUGAGAUCGGACGCCAUGCCGCGCACAUAGUGGUGUUGUGAUUGGAUGUCUCGGGGUGAGAUGGCUUAGCUGGUCGGACUGAGAUCGGACUCCGUGCUAAAACACGAUAGUAUAUCGAUGCUAAAGAUCUCCCAGCUUAAAUUUCCGAAACCUACUUGAAAUUUAUGUUUCCCCUAAUGUGGCACUUUGAUACCGUUUGAGUCCCUUAUUGAUAUCAUGUUUUAUUCUCCAUUUACUGUUACUCGUUCUAUUGAGAGGGUGUUUAGUUUUACAUACUAGUAUUAUUCCAUAUGUACUAACGUCCCCUUUGUUGGGGGCACUGCAUCUUUAAUGGAUGCAGGUGGUUCCACAGCAGGCGGUAUUGAUCAGUGAUAGCAGUACAGCCUCUCCUCAGCUGACUUGGUGAGCCCCACUUCAUUAUGGGGUCUUAUAUCUCCUGUCCUUUAUGUAUAUUGUUUUGAGGUAUAGCCGGAGCCUUGCUACGGCACCAUCAUGCUACUCUUUUGUAUCCAUUAGAAGCUCCGUAGACAUAGCGUGGGUGGUACCUUUGUUUUGGGAAAGUCAAACUAAAGGCGUUGUAUUUGUAUCAUAUGUUUUCACUUUCAGACUAUGAAUGUGUAAUGUAAUAUUUCGAAACAUCUUGAAUGAAGUUCUAACGGUAAUGAAAUUUAGACUGUUCAUGUAACCUUCUCAUUGUUUAGUUAAUGAUAUAUACCUUCUCCUUGUUCACGGGUGAGUUUAAGUAGAAGGCAUUGUAUAGGCUUGCUCGACCGAGUUAUCUCGGUUUGGCGCCGGUCGCGCUCCUUGAGGUCAGGGCAUGACAAUAAGUCUUCUGUUUAACCUUGUGAGGGGGAAAGCUACCUCGUAGGUGUAUAUUUGCUAUGUGCUACUUAUUGUGAGGUCCACGCACGCACGAGGUAACAAGAGUCCGAAUAUUGCUAAUAUCAUGUAAUGUCCGGGUAGAUUUAGGACUUUAUCAUGCGAUAUUUGUAUUAUCUGAAUUCAACUUGUUAGUUUAAUUACCUAAGACUGAUAAAUGAAAUGUGAUUAGAGAUCAUGUUAGAUCAAAUCUCAUUACCUUGAGUUGUUGGCAAGAUAUUCGAAAAUUGGUAAAAGUCAUGAUUACUUUAAGUUCCCAUUUUUAUAUUGUAAACACGUAACUCGUAAGUCGAUAAGUUUCUUCACUUCUAGGAGAUCGGGCUGAACGCCUCAGAAAUAUAUGUAUAUAUGAGAUGCAUCUAUGGAUCGGGACGUACAACCUCGGUAGUGUAUGUACACGACUAUAUGGAUCGGGCCGAACGACCUCGGCAUAAUUCGUGCGUAAAAUCGCUAGGAGUCCGAAUACCCACGAGAUUACCCUCCUGAUUGGGACUUGGAAAUUACACGAUAUUCCCUUGUGAUCGGAGAUCAGAUAUUUAUUUGAUGAUUAUUAUUUGUUGAGAUGGCAUGUGCCAUGUGGAAAUUUUAAAAUGAUAUUUCGUUAAAGGCUCACGUUGAUUACUGUUUCUUAUUCUAUUGAUCCUGUUGUAUUUCAUGCCUGCUUAUGGUUCCUGCAUCUUAUUUAUUAGACCACUAGUAAGUGUCGAUGUCGACCCCUCGUCACUAAUUAUCUGGGGUUAGGCUAGAUACUUAUUGGGUACGCGUUGAUUUACGUACUCAUGCGACACUUCUACACUAAAUGUGCAGGAUCUGACAUGUUCAUUUGAUGGUCAUCUUGGCUCGUAAGCGCAACUGUUGAAGGGACUUUAUGGCGAGCUGCUUUCCAUGCUACAUGUUGCAGCCCACAGAGUCUCCAUCUUAUUUAUUUACUUUAUCCUGUCUAUUUUAUAUUUCAGACAGAUGAUGUAUUAUUAUGGCACUAUUUAGUAGACGCUCAUGUACUUGUGACACUGGGGUUUGGGAAGUUCUAGAAUUUGUUUAUGGUUUUGCUUAACAUUGACAUACUUUUACUCUAUAUUUUAUCCAAAAUGUAUGUAUCUAUGAUUUUUAACGCAUUAAUUUCUCUAUAUAAUAAGAUUCAUGAUUUUAAAAAUAAUAAAAUGAAUUAUUAAGCUGGUAGUUCACCGUUGGCUUGCCUAACGGCGACGUUGGGCGCCAUCAUGACCUAUAGUGGAUUUUUGGUCGUGACAGCUUGGUAUCAGAGCUCUAGGGUCUCACGAGUCAUGAUCAAGUCUAGUAGAGUCUUGCGGAUCGGUACAGAGACGUCUGUACUUAUCUUCGAGAGGCUACUGGGCUGUUACGAGCACUUCCUUUUUUUGAUUCCUCGUCGUGCGAUUUUGAUUCUAUUGAAGCUUAUGCCUUCAUUUCCUUCCUACUCAUUCUUAUACGAUGUUGAGGGCUUGUUAUUAAUUGAGCAUCGAGGAGUUGUAGUGGUACUGCAGAUGUGGUGUAUGAUAUUUCUCCCUGCGUAUUCGAGCGGGCUAUUAUCGUUGUCUUGUGGGAGGAUGCUCUAUCGUUUUAGCUUCGUGCUAGUGUUGCCUACGGUUUCGAGGCUAUGCACAAUGUAUUAUGAGGUUCAUGCAUUGUUAUCGCGCAAUGUUGGUGUGAAUGGUAGGGUGCCUAUUUAUGUGUGGUGUGAAACGUGGCAAGACUUGAUAAUUUUGAAUGUGAUGGAAUUCUCAUUGUGGUGUGGUGUAGUCGACCUUGUUAGAGCACAUUAAGGUUCUUCGGUGUAAUGAUCUUCUUUUAUUUGCCUACGGGGCAGAGUGUUGCGAAAUGGUACCUAAGAAGCGGCCAUCAGGGAUGGCGGUGUGUGGCAGUUUCUAGGUCAAACCAGUGUUUCUAAUGUUGAUGGCUCGAGAGAGAUGAUCUUCGAGAAGGCUUAGAAUUGGUAGCAAUUUAUUAGUUCGGGUGCUACAGAGGUGGAUUAUGAUUAGAGGCAGUAUUUGGACAGCGAAUGAUGAGGAAGGACAUGGUGGGAGGUGUCUCGCGGAAGUCGAAUUGCUAGAGGUUGAGUAGUUCGCUUCGGAAGGUGGUUAACUCAGAGUGGGAAUGUUAGCGUAUCGUAUGUAUUUCGUGGUAGUCUGUGCACAUGCUUCCAGAAAGCUUAGCGUGAUUAUGGUUAUGGUGAACAAGAGACUAAGUCUGUGUAUUUCGUUUGAGAUGGUGGCUUUGUGCUUCAGAUGUUUGAAUAUGACGGAAAGAGUUUGUUUGGGAUGUAAUAUGACUUCGAGUUUUGGAUGCAUCGCUGGACCUUCAUUUGAUGUCGAUGGGAAUAAGCGGGCGCUUUCGACUGGGGGUGAGCGUGGGCUCAGAAGGAUUAACUGGUUUCGUGAUGACUGUAAUCAUGGCAAUAUCGUUGGAGUAUGUCGAUUUAGGGUAACACAGGUGGGCUAUCUCCUAUGAGGAGUUAGGAGUUGCGUGAUUCCUAGUAAAGAUCCUCUGAAGAACUUUAUUUUCUAUCCAACAUGAAGUAUGUACUACAAUGUGAGCUGGGAUCGCUUGAAGAAGAUAGUGUAGUGGUCAGGAGGUCGAGUGUGUGUUUGGAGAUGAUAAUUUGAGUUAUGUUAUGUGAAGUUUAACAAGCGAUUGCGAGGAAUUUGGCGGAGUGGCGGUGCGAAAUCAUGGUAACCGAGGAGGAGGAGUCAUUGUGAUUUAUAGAUUUAUGUAAUUGCGGCUUAGAGCUAAGUGGGGGAGCCUACCGUCUACGAUUGGGUCACAUGGUUGUGUGCCUUGUUAGCAUCGGGUUAUUGGUACGUUGGUAGAUUUGUUAUGACUAAGGAAAGAAAACAUCAAGGGUAAUUCGGGUAAAGGACUUGAUGUAUAUGUGCUACAUUUCACCUUAUCGAUUCAUGUGCAGAUGUUGGGGAUGAUUCAGAAUUUAUGCUUCUUGUGGAUGUGAUGUGCAAGGAAAAAGAAUUCAUCCGGUUGCUUCUUUGGAAGUGUUCAUGUGCUAUAGCACUAGUGUUUAUUUAUAUAUUUGGGACAUGUCAGAGUGGGUGACUUUUGAUAAUGGUUCUAGUGGGUUCAAGAACUAAAGUGCGGUGUCUAAGGAUUUUGGGUCCAUUGUGUGGUUAAGGAUUGAGUUUUGCAGUGCAUUAUGAAAGGGACUUGGAGUGUUUCUAUGUUAGCACCGGGGGUAUGUGGUGCGACGUUAGAGAGAUGAAAGGAAACAACUUCGGAUUCGUAGAAGACCUUUCAGAAUGGGUACAUCAGUUGGAGAUACUAUUGAGUGCAUGAGGAGGGUAUGAGAUGGCUGAUGGGUGUUGGGGCGAUGUGGUCUCGGGAUUUGGGGUCACUCGGGAUGAGUGUUGUUUGAGGUCCGUUAUGUGUUUGAAUAGAACUAUUAUUUCAAGGCAAGUCAAGAGUAAAUUGGAAGAAGUCAAAUCAGCUAGUAAUGGCUUGAAUCAGCAUGGUUAUGGAAUUGAUCAGUUCCUUCGGUGUGUUAAGCUAUAUAGGUGAUUUGGGGCUAUACGUGCGGGCUUGACAGCCACCGUAAUUUGGUUUAUUUGGAGGUAUUUGAUUCUGAUGGCCUUGUUAUAUGUAAAUAGAUCCCGUAAGAGUUAUAGCGGUUUAGACUACGACUUGAGGUUUGCAUUUUCUGUGGUUAUGGGAAUUCGAUUGCGUGUUGCAAUUGUUCUUCUGAAAUAAGUUGGGUGAAAGGGGUCCUAGCCAAUGAGGUGUUUGUUCUAUUGUUGGUUCAGGGGUUAUGAUGAAAUUCUUGUAUUCUUGCGUAGCGACAUGAUAGGUGCAGUGAGCGGUUUGGAAAUUGGAAGUUGAGGAUCAAGGUUGCGGUUCGGUGUUGAUAAGAAUGUCACGAGCUCGGAGGAGCGGGGGAGGAUUUUAGAUGUUCAGAGUAUGCUGGAACUAUUUUCGGGCAGCUUGAGGGUGGUCUGUUUUGUGGUUGAAGUGUUGGGUAUUGAAAUGCGGAUGCUUGACUAGUACCAUAGAAAUAAUAUGAUCGAUGGCUAUGGAUGUUCAGAUUUUACUACCUGGCGUGGAAGGUUGUGGGAGUAUAUUCCACGGGAAGAUCGUAUAAGUGUGACAUGUUAGUUAUUUGAUUGUUAGAGAUUGAAACCUAGUAUGGAGAUUCUGGUGCUGUCGCUAAUGGGAGAGUUUAUGCCUGAAAGACGCUCUAUUCCUCUGGUUGUGGAAUAUGGAAGUUUGUUCCGGAUUGGACGGGUGGUUGUGUGUGUCAUGAAUAAGGUCAUUAUGGAUCCUUGAAAGGUCAUUGUCCCAGUAUGAGAUGAUCAGAAUUGGCUUGAGGUCUGUUGGUAGGUCUAAUGUGAAUGUGUGCUCUACAUCAGGUCGGAUGUGUUCAUUCAGCAUAGCAUUGCUUAUGGAGGAGUCUUCGGGCGUUGGGUGUUAUUCCUGUCGUCAGCUAUUCUAUGUAGUACUCUAUUAUGCCAUAUGGGCUGUGAGACGGCUUGAUUAUUCGCACAUGUGUUGUGUUCCCAUGUAGCUUUUGGGGUUAUAUGAGAAACAUGGUUCUCGAGAUGCAGGUCAUUUAUUGCACCUUAGUCGUGCUCGAGUUUUGUAGCGCAUGGCGCUAUCCGUCUCCCCAAGGAGGUAUUUAUGCACUUGACGUGCUUGUGGUCGAUAUUCGAGCAUUUCGUGGGUUUGAGCAUUAUUGCUUGAUGGGUAUAUCCCUAUUGAUUGUCAUGUGUGGAUCGGGUGGCACGCCGCCACGAGUAUCAUAUUUGGAUCGGGUUGCACGCCGCAACGGUAUUAUGUGUGGAUUGGGUUGCAGGCCGCAACAGUGAGAUGUUGAGUACGGUUCCUUAUACUUAUUUUGUGUGCCUUGUUUCUCAUCUCUGAAAUAGGUUCAUAACAUCUGUUUGGCCGUUUUAUUCAUUACACGGGCUGGGUAGUUCUUUGCCAGAGUUCGUUCUUCCUUAUGGGUCAUAUUCGAGUUGUAGCUCAUUGGUGCAUUGAUGGCGACAUAUGAGAUUUUAGUUGGUGUUUUAGGUGGCUUAUGGCCCGAGCAGCUUGUACUGGGUGAGACGAGGUUAUUGGACCUGCAAUAUGUGCAAUUGGACUUAUGUAAGGUAUAUUAAAGAGAAAAUAUCACUAUUCAGUUCAGAAUGAGGUAAUGGUUCUUGACAAGCGGAGAGACUCUCUGAUUUAUUGAUUUGGUAGGUGGUUAUGAGCUUCUACAUGUCACUUUCAUCGUUGCAGUAUCACGAGGGUUGGAUUAGGGCUUAUGCGCAUUAUGAGGUAUACUACGGGCAUCAGGUUAGUGAAUUUGUAGCUUCUACGGUUGGAGGAUGUUAUUAUGGGCAUACGAAUUAUGCGGUGCAUUGUGUGGUUUCAGUAUGGGUGCAUGAUCAUAUAUAGUACAACGGUUGAGAUUGAUACGGUGUUCGUAUGUUAGAAUCAAGUCUCAUAGAGAAUUCCGGAUGUUGGAAUUUGGCUCUAAGGCUUGUGGGCUAAGUUGGCAGGAAGGAUCUUCAGUCAGGCUCGAGCUAAUAUGCUCACAUGGAAUGUAGAGGCACAGGUAGGUGCACGAGGUGUUAAACAACGAUUUUGGGCAACUCCAGAACGGUUCUUGGCACGUUCGAGGACGAACGUAUGUUUAAGUGGGGGAGAAUGUAACGACCCGACCAGUCAUUUCAAGCUCUAUGGCGUCGUUCGGUAGUUUGAGGCCUUGAGUAGCUUCACUUCAUGUUAUAUGACUUGUACGCGUAGUCGGAAUUGAAUUUCGGGAAGUUCAGAGUUGAUUCGGAUGGAAAAUUCUCGAUUCGGAGGCUUUAAGUUGGAAGAGUUGAACAAUGUUUGACUUUUUAGUAAAUGACCUCAGAAUCGGGAUUUGAAGGUUCCAAUAGUUUCGUAUGGUGAUUUUCGGACUUGGACGUAUGUUCGAGUUGAGUAUCAGGUGGCUUGGGAGCAUUUCAGUGCUUAUUGUGAAAAGUUGGCAUUUUGAAGGUUUUAGAAUUUCCUAAGUUUUGUUUGAAGGGGGCUUUGGUGUUAGUCCGUUUGGGGUUCCGAGCCGUAGAAUAGGUUCGUAUCAUGAUUUGUGACUUGCACGUAAAGUUUGGCAUCAUUCUAGAAUGUUUAAGUGUAAUUCAGACGCGUUCAUCGAAGUUUGAAUGUUUGAAAGUUGAAAGAAGGAUUUUGAUUGUUGAUUUGUAAUUUUGAUGUUAUUCGUGGCGUUCUGAGCCUUUGAAUAACUUUGGAUAAGGUAUUGGAACUUGUUGGUAUGAUCAGAUGGGGUCCGGGGGCCUCGGAUGGGUUUCAUAAUGGUUUCAGACAAAUUCCCCUUGUUUUAUCACUACUAUUUUCUGGUGUGUUGGGUGUGCAUCGCGAUCGCGGAGGAUGGUCGUGACCAUGAAAGGCUAACUGUACUGGUGGUAUUUUUGUUCAUCGCGAUUGCGUAAAGGCAGUCGCGAUCGCGGAGCUGGAGCAGGUUGUUCUUCGCGUUCGCGUGGGAGAAGUCGCAAAUGCGAUGGGUUGUUCAAGCUGGUUUGUUUGGGGAUAGUUGUUCUACACGAUCGCGGAAGAGGAAUUCUGCUGAGGCUAUGUUUGGCCUUUGUGUUCGGGUUAGUGGGCUCGCGUUAGCGGAGGCCUGGGCAGGUUGUGAUUCUCGAUCACGAGAAGGACUCGCGUUCGUAUAAGAGUAAUUUCAUGGGUGAGGCUGGUUGGCCUUCGGGAUUGCGAGGAGUUUUCCGCGAUCGCGAGGAGUUUUUCGCGAUCGCUAGGAGUUUUCCGCGAUCGCGAAAAAGGGCCGCUGGGCAGAACACUUCUUAAAAAAAUCGGGGAUUUCACUCAUCUUCACCUCAUUUUUUCCAUGGGAGCCGAUUUUGGGGCGAUUUUGGAGCACCAUUUUCAUUAUCAAUUUUCAGGUAAGUGAUUUAUUCACCUCGUGAGUUACAUACAUUGUUAGUUUAUAUGUGGAUUUAAACAUGAAAAUUUAUGGAAAUUGUGGGAUUUUAGGAGAAAACCUAGAAUUUGAUAUUUUUGGAUUUUGACCACGAAAUUGGAGAUGUGAUUGGGAAUAAAUUAUAUAUUUGAGUUCGUGCUGUUAUGGGUAAUGUUUAUCUUCGAAAAUAUUUGGUAUCCGGGCACGUGUGCCCGAGGGUUGACUUUAUUGACUUUUCGAGCGGAGUUGAGGAUUGUUAUAAAUUGUUAAAUUAUAAGCAUUAGAGUAUAUUUUAAUUGAUUUACACGUUGUUUGACUAGUUUCGGAUCGAUGGGCAUUGGUUGAGGUGUUAGAGGGGCAUUGGAGCCAGUUGUGGAACUUCAGAGCGAGGUAAGUCUCCUGUUUAACCUUGUGAGGGGGAAAACUACCUUGUAGGUGUGUAUUUGCUAUGUGCUACAUGUUUUGGGGGCCAUGUACGCACGAGGUGACGAGAGUCCGUACGUAGCUAUUUAGAAUGAACAUUGAACAAACAUCCUUCAACACAACCACAUUAGGAAUAGCCAAUUCAAUAAUGAUCAAGGACUUACUCCAAUUACAUGAACACCGUGGAAUUCGAUUCUAAGAAGAAGGGCGUUUAGGAAUACAUACCUCAAUUCGUCCCUUAAUGAUACUACAAUGAUGCACUACACUAAGCAACUUCAAUCUACAAUAACAACAUCCAAUGAGACUAAAAUUAGUAACAAAUCCCAUGGGUUUAUUGUAUUCAUAAAUUUCAUCGCCAAGAUUACCAUUCACCUUCUCUCUUAUUUUCUCAAAAGUACUAUUCAUGCCAUGAACUAGAGUUUUAUAAUCUAAUCUUUCAACCAUUAAAACUUGUAACAAAUGCUUCAAAUACUUCUAAAUACUUAUAAUAAACGAGUUUGAAGCAUUGGAAUUACCUCUAGUAUAUCAAUCUUGAGAAAUCAAAACUUUGGUGAUUUUUGUGUUCUUGAGGAUUUGAUGAUGAAAUCUUGUAUUUGGAUGUAAUAAUGAUGUUAGAACUCAUGUAUAUUGAGUAAUAAUCAACCAAAAAUAUCAUUAAUAACUUACCUUGGUUUAUUGGACUUGAUUUGAGCUCAAAAUCGUCCCUUCACCUCAUGAACCCUAACCCCCAAAUACUCAAAAUAUCCCCCUUCCCCGACCUUGUAUUUAUAGGCCCAUAUUUCUGGGUUUCGGAUGCGGCUCUGGAUGCUUCGCAUCCCCACUUCACUCCUCUUUGAAGCUCGGAUGCGGACCUGGACUCUAUGGUAGCACUUCACUGCCAGCCUCUCUUUCGGACGUGGCCUCGGAUGCUUCGCAUCCAAAGGCUCCUCCGCCAGCCUUUGGUGAUUUGGUCAUAACUUCUUGUAGGAAUGUCCAAAUGACAAACGGUUUAAAGCGUUGGAAACUAGACUCAAAGACCCUUAAUAUAGGUCAUACAUCACCUAACUCCUUACAUAUAUAUUGUUAUGACCGUCCAAACUUUAGUUUUGUGCGUACUCAUUUGGAACUUUAGUCUAUCAUGAAACUUUCAACUUGACUUGGACUUAGGGCUCUCCCUAGACCCCACAUCACUUAUAAUAUGGCCCGUACACUUAUUAUUGUAUCCAAUUGAUAUCCAUCCCAUUAAUAGUUCUCGUCUGCACACAAAAUAAUAUAAUUAGCGCACAUCAACUUUCUUAAUAGCGCUUAAGUACUUCAAAAUUUUUCGGGGUGUUACAUCAAAGCUCUCUAGUAUGAUGAUCCACACUUGAUGGAACUUAAGGACACAGUCAGCGUGAUGGUGAUAAGAAGGUGGUUAUUGGGGAUGAUGGUGUUAUGCGACUUGUGGAUGACAUUGUGUUCCUAAUGUCAAUGACUUGAGAGAGUUAAUUAUUGAGAUGUCUCACAUUUCGUGUUAUUAUAUUCACCCAGGUGCUAUAAAGAUGUAGCGUGAUUUAAAGUAGCAGUACUGGUAGCAGAGCCUAAAAAGGACAUUGUUGGUCAUGUUUCACGGUGUUUGAAUUUUCAAUAGGUCAAGUAUGAGCAUAAGAAACUAGGUGAGAGAGUAUUACUAUAAUAUUUGUGGUAGGUUUGACAUAAACUUUUAGAAUGUUUGAUGGCAUUUGGUUCAUUGUUGAUAGGUUGACCAAGUCGGCAUAUUUUAUUCUGGUGAAAACCUCAUACACUUCAAUGAAGUUGGCACAUAUAUACAUAUGAGAGAUUAUUCGCUUGCAUGGUGUCUUCCGUCUCUAUCAUUUAAGACUGCGACACUCAGUUCACAUCGCUCUUUUAGAGAGUUGUUCAGUGUGAGUUAGGCACCUAGGUGGAACUCAGCACUACAUUUCACCCGCAGAUGAAUAGGCCAUCCAAGCGGACUAUUUAGAUCCUGAAAGAUAUACUGAGAGCAUGUGUUAUUGGUUUUAGAGGUCAUUGGGAACAAUUCCUAUCAUUUACGGACUUUUCUUGCAACAACAACGACUAGUCCAGUAUUCAAAUGGCUCCGUAUGAGGCCUUAUAGUAGACGGUGCUGCUCUCCAGUUGGUUGGUUUAAGCCUGGUGAGGUUUGGUUGAUGGGUACAAAUUUGGUCCGUGAGGCAUUGAAGAAGGUGAAGUUUAUUCAGGAGAGGAUUCGCGUAGCUCAGUCCAGGCAGAAAAGUUAUGCGGACAAGAAGGUUCGCGAUGUGGAAUUUAUGGAAGAUGAGAAUGUUCUUCUUAUAGUUUCACCUAUUAAGGGCGUAAUAAGGUCUGGAAAGAAAGACAAUUUGAUCCCGAGGUUUAUUGGUCCAUUUGAGGUAUUGGAGAGAGUUGGCGAGGUUCCUUAUAGACUUUCUUUGACUCCUAGUCUUUCUGGAGUUCAUCCUAUAUUUCAAGUUUCUAUGAUCUGGAAGUGCCAUGAAAAUAAUCCAUAUGUUCUGGAAUUUAGCACAAUGUAGUUUGAUGAGAAUUUGGCUUAUGAAGAAGAGCCAGUGGCCAUUUUGGAUAGCUAGGUUUGGAAGCACAGGUCUAAGGAGAUCAUGCCGAUGAAGGUGCUAUGGAGAGGCCAACCUAUCUAGGAGGCUACUUGGGAGACCGAGUCAGAUAUAUAGAGCAGAUAUCUGUAUCCUUUCGGUAGUUCAUGUACAUUUCUGAACACAUUUGAGGAUUUGUUUAAAAGGUGGAGAAUGUAGCAAGCCAACCGGUCGUCUUAAGUAUUAGAACCCUAUUCCCCUAUUUGAUGCUUCCCGUAUAUGUAUUUGAUGUUUAAUGACUUUCGGGGACCGGUGGUUUGGUUUUCAUGGGGUACGAGAAUGAUUUGGAGCACUUAGAUUCAUUUUGGAAGCCUUAAGUUGAAAGAAGUGACCAAGGUUUGGCUUUCAUGUAAACGACCUCGGAUUGGUGAUUGGAUGGUUCCAAUAUGUUUUUAUGGUGAUUCAGGACUUAGGCAUAUUUUUGUACUUGGUUUUGGAUGUUCCUAGAGUAUUUUAAUUCUAUUUGUCGAAAGUUGGCAAUUUGAAGAAUUGGAGAGUUCUUAAGUUUGACAGAUAGUUGACUUUUAUGAUAUCAAACUCGAUUGUGGUUCCGAAAUUUGGAAUAUGUUUGUUUUCUUGAAUGGAACUUGUGUGCAAAGUUUGGUUGUGAUCCAAAGUGUUUAGACAUGAAUCAGAUGCUUGGUUGGAAGUUUAGAAGUUCUUUAGCUUAUGAGAGUUCAAUGAGUGGUUUGGCCUUUGACUCGUAGAUGUGAUAAUAUCGCAUGUGUUUUACAGCUUUGGACAGGUCAUGGUAGUGAUUUACUUGUUGGUAUGAUGGAUGGGAUCUUGGAGGGCUCGGGUGAGUUUCGGACCACCCCGAGCAUGUUUGGAGUUGUAGAUUUUUGCUGGUGUCAGUUUGUUCAUCGCGAUUCCUAAGCUAGAUUCCUGACUCAUCUGAUGACAUUUACCUUUUUUUUUUUGCUUCUUCAUCAUAUCUUAUUAUGUAUAUUCAAAGGAUUUAUAAUCCUUUAUUUAAAGGUAUCCCUAGAAGUACUUGCAGAUCUGAUAUCUUUAGACUUCAUGGACAAUAUCAAACAUACAUACGUUAUUUGUUUGACUACCUUCCUUGUAGAGUUUCUCUAACUUCUGAUAUUGGCCAUGCUGUUAAUGGAAAUGAUUAUUUGACAAUUAUAUGUCAUUGGAUAUAUGAUAAUUAUUGUAUGAAAAAACGUAUUAUUGCUUUUAAAUAUGAUGAAAAUCAGAGUCAUACUGCUAUGUUUAUAAGUACUACUAUUUGCGAAGUUGUUGAAUUUUAUAAUCUUAAGAAAAAAGUAUUGUGUAUGUCUUUUGAUAAUGCUUCUAACAAUAAUGCCGCAAUUUCAAUAUUAAGACUGCAUUUGCAAUCAUCACUUGACGAAAUUUUUCAUGUUAGGUGGGCACGUCAUGUUUAUAAUUUAAUUAUUAAAAGUGGCCUUGAUUUAUUUUCAACUGAGAUUACUCAUGUUAGAAAAGCAGUUGGUGUUAUUCAAGAAAAUAAUAGACAAUCUAGAAUUAGGGAAUUUAAGAAUAAGUGUAUUGAGCAUAACCUUAACCCCAGAUUCAUGCCAGACGAAAUUGUUACUAGAUAGAAUUAUACAUACUUAUUUUUAAAAUGUUGCUACAAAUAUAGAUUGCCAAUAACUGAAGUUGCUAAUGCGCAUUGUACUGAUCCAAACCGUAUGUUAACAACUACUACUUGGGAGGCCAUUAAUGAUGUUGUUAAAUUUUUUCAUAAAUUUUAUACAGCUAUUGUUGAAUUUUCUGGAGCAUAUUACCCUAAUGUUACUAUGGCUUUAGUACAUAUAUCUGAAAUUUCUUUUCUACUCUCUGAAUUUAAGAAGAAAGAAAAAUAUAAGGAUGCUGUUGAAAAAAUGCAAGCAAAAUUCAAAAAAUAUUUCUUUCCAAUUCCUCCGAUUUACUUAAUUGGUACUGUUUUAAAUCCUUCUAUUAAGAUGUCUGAUUGUCACCAAUUAAUCAAUGCUUUAUAUACUUAUAUAGAGAUUGGACCAAUUGAAACCCCAUAUAUAUAUAUUGUUGUAUGAACAAGCUAAAUAAUUAUUUACAACAAUUAUAUAAUUGUUAUGCAAAUAUAGUUGAUGAUGCUGCUCUUAAUAUAGGCAAUGUUAAUCCCACUAUGCAUUGUACCACUUCUACUACUAUGGAUGAUGAUGAGGACCUUGAGGGUUUUAAUAUUUGGUAUAUAUUUCCUACCACUCAAACUAGUAGCAGGAACAUUGAUGAACUUUAAUUCUACUUGCAAAAGCAAAAAGAGCUUCGCACAAAGGAAUUUUCACCAUUGGGAUGGUGGCAUGAGAAUGAAAAGCAAUUUUCUGUUCUUUCCGCUAUGGCUCGGGACGUGCUGAAUGUGUCAAUUUCAACUGUUGCAUCAGAGAGUGCAUUUAGUCAAGCAAGACAACAACUUGGAGACACCCGUCACUCAUUGGGAAGCAAUGCUUUGGAAGUUUUAGUAUGUUUCAGAGAUUGGAUUAGAUCGGAACGAAGAAAUCAGGGACGUGAAGAUGUUGACAGACCAGAAGACGAGGAACUUGGAGAUAUAUUAACACAUGGUAACCCAUUUGAAUUUAACACUCCAGAAGAUGGUCAAGAAAUUCAUAUUGAUUAUGAAGAACUUACUAAGGCAAUGCAAAACCUUUGAAUUUACUCUUUUUUUGUUAAUUUACUUGUUGUUAAAUGUAAACUUCAAUUUGUAAGUUUGAAAUAAAAAAAGCACUUUCAAANNNNNNNNNNNNNNNNNNNNNNNNNNNNNNNNNNNNNNNNNNNNNNNNNNNNNNNNNNNNNNNNNNNNNNNNNNNNNNNNNNNNNNNNNNNNNNNNNNNNNNNNNNNNNNNNNNNNNNNNNNNNNNNNNNNNNNNNNNNNNNNNNNNNNNNNNNNNNNNNNNNNNNNNNNNNNNNNNNNNNNNNNNNNNNNNNNNNNNNNNNNNNNNNNNNNNNNNNNNNNNNNNNNNNNNNNNNNNNNNNNNNNNNNNNNNNNNNNNNNNNNNNNNNNNNNNNNNNNNNNNNNNNNNNNNNNNNNNNNNNNNNNNNNNNNNNNNNNNNNNNNNNNNNNNNNNNNNNNNNNNNNNNNNNNNNNNNNNNNNNNNNNNNNNNNNNNNNNNNNNNNNNNNNNNNNNNNNNNNNNNNNNNNNNNNNNNNNNNNNNNNNNNNNNNNNNNNNNNNNNNNNNNNNNNNNNNNNNNNNNNNNNNNNNNNNNNNNNNNNNNNNNNNNNNNNNNNNNNAUCCUUUUAUUCAAACACUCUUUUUAUAAGAAGAUUGUUUUUUUGUUUAAUAUUUUUACUUUAUAUUAAUAUAAAUUACGAUAGUUAUACAAAAUACAAAAAAAAUAAA
Molecule: long non-coding RNA, 18391 nt
Filed under: Nicotiana tabacum (common tobacco)
Lineage: Eukaryota; Viridiplantae; Streptophyta; Magnoliopsida; Solanales; Solanaceae
Description: long non-coding RNA (NTAB_LNC016573)
Source: RNAcentral